Molecule: long non-coding RNA, 395 nt
Organism: Pan troglodytes (chimpanzee)
Lineage: Eukaryota; Metazoa; Chordata; Mammalia; Primates; Hominidae
Exons: 2
Source: RefSeq, a predicted model, not a curated record
AUGGUGUCCAUUUUGGCUUCUCACCUCACUUAGUUUCUUUUGAAUUUCUUCCUUCUCUUCUUGGAUGUCCCUGAGAUCUGCCUGCAGCUCAGCCCCAGCCUCCUCAGCUUUCUGCAGCUGAGCCUCCAGACCUACAUUUGGGAGCUGAUCCGUCUUGCUCUCAGUUAGGGCCCAGCCCUUCUGUGGGGACCAGGAAAAUCUUUGCUCACCUGGAGAAGCUGCUGGUUCAGCCCAACUUUAUCUAACGCCAAAGCCUCAUUUAAGGCACUGAGCUUGACAGCUGCAGCCCGAAGAUCAGCUACUUCUGUCUUCAGGGUGUUUUCAGAACUCGACAGCUCUGCAAUUGACUGCUCUGCCUAAAAAACAAAAAGGAUUAAAGAGUUUCAUAUUUCCAA